CCUACGGGGGGCUGCAGUGGGGAAUAUUGGACAAUGGGGGGAACCCUGAUCCAGCCAUGCCGCGUGUGUGAAGAAGGCCCUCGGGUUGUAAAGCACUUUCAGUGAGGAAGAACGCCUGGUGGUUAAUACCCAUCAGGAAAGACAUCACUCACAGAAGAAGCACCGGCUAACUCCGUGCCAGCAGCCGCGGUAAUACGGAGGGUGCGAGCGUUAAUCGGAAUUACUGGGCGUAAAGCGCGCGUAGGUGGCUUGAUAAGCCGGUUGUGAGAGCCCCGGGCUCAACCUGGGAACGGCAUCCGGAACUGUCAAGCUAGAGUGCAGGAGAGGAAGGUAGAAUUCCCGGUGUAGCGGUGAAAUGCGUAGAGAUCGGGAGGAAUACCAGUGGCGAAGGCGGCCUUCUGGACUGACACUGACACUGAGGUGCGAAAGCGUGGGUAGCAAACAGGAUUAGAUACCCUAGUAGUC
Molecule: ribosomal RNA, 465 nt
Filed under: Vreelandella stevensii
Lineage: Bacteria; Pseudomonadati; Pseudomonadota; Gammaproteobacteria; Oceanospirillales; Halomonadaceae
Description: partial 16S ribosomal RNA
Rfam family: Bacterial small subunit ribosomal RNA
Source: RNAcentral